This 527-nucleotide long non-coding RNA is filed under the name Fragaria vesca (wild strawberry). Its description in RNAcentral is "long non-coding RNA (FVES_LNC002525)". The record is from RNAcentral. Lineage: Eukaryota; Viridiplantae; Streptophyta; Magnoliopsida; Rosales; Rosaceae.
AAAAGUAUAAUACAUGAGAUCGAUCAUGAGCAUUUCCGUUAUGCAUAAGUUAAUUUUGUAGCUAGUGGGUUAAUAAUAAGUUAGUGGCAUGGGUUAAUAAUACAUGAGAUCGCUCUGGUUUUUGCCAAUUUAUAAGCUAAAGUCAGGGAUUAUACCCCUAUAUAGAAAGGAAAAACAACUAAAUGCUAUAUGGAUACUCAUCAGUCAUCACCAGAAGAAAAAAAGAAAAAAAAAUUAGUGAGUCGGAGGAAAGCCGAAUAAGACAAGGUAGGUACAUUCUCAAAUUAGAAAAUUUCAUCUAAGUCACAUUCUCAACAUUUUCUCUCACACAAGUCCACUCUUAUUUUUUUACCCACAUAAGUCCACUUUUUAGCCCAAAUCCAUUAGAUUUGCUUUACCCUAUACCUAAAAUACCCCCUAUCUCAACUAAAAUCAUCUUCACAUAUUCUUCGUCCGUUUCUUUCAUCAAAGAAACUCUCUCUCUCUCUCUCUCUCUCUCUCUCUCUCUCUCUCUCUCUCUCUCNNNN